AGAGUUUGAUCCUGGCUCAGGACGAACGCUGGCGGCGUGCUUAACACAUGCAAGUCGAGCGAUGAAGCACCUUCGGGUGUGGAUUAGCGGCGAACGGGUGAGGAACACGUGAAGAAUCUGCCUUCAACUCUGGGAUAACUCCGGGAAACCGGGGCUAAUACCGGAUAUGAGCCUUGGCCGCAUGGCCGGGGCUGGAAAGUUUUUCGGUUGAAGAUGACUUCGCGGCCUAUCAGCUUGUUGGUGAGGUAACGGCUCACCAAGGCGACGACGGGUAGCCGGCCUGAGAGGGCGACCGGCCACACUGGGACUGAGACACGGCCCAGACUCCUACGGGAGGCAGCAGUGGGGAAUUUUGGACAAUGGGCGCAAGCCUGAUCCAGCCAUUCCGCGUGCAGGACGAAGGCCUUCGGGUUGUAAACUGCUUUUGUACGGAACGAAAAGGCUCUGGUUAAUACCUGGGGCUCAUGACGGUACCGUAAGAAUAAGCACCGGCUAACUACGUGCCAGCAGCCGCGGUAAU
Molecule: ribosomal RNA, 520 nt
Filed under: uncultured bacterium
Lineage: Bacteria
Description: bacterial SSU rRNA
Rfam family: Bacterial small subunit ribosomal RNA
Source: RNAcentral